Molecule: ribosomal RNA, 500 nt
Filed under: uncultured bacterium
Lineage: Bacteria
Description: partial 16S ribosomal RNA
Rfam family: Bacterial small subunit ribosomal RNA
Source: RNAcentral
AUUGAACGCUGGCGGCAUGCCUUACACAUGCAAGCCGAACGGCAGCACGGGGGCAACCCUGGUGGCGAGUGGCGAACGGGUGAGUAAUACAUCGGAACGUGUCCUGUCGUGGGGGAUAACCAGUCGAAAGACUGGCUAAUACCGCAUGAGAUCGAGAGAUGAAAGCAGGGGACCGCAAGGCCUUGCGCGAUUGGAGCGGCCGAUGUCGGAUUAGCUAGUUGGCGGGGUAAAAGCCCACCAAGGCGACGAUCCGUAGCUGGUUUGAGAGAACGACCAGCCACACUGGGACUGAGACACGGCCCAGACGCCUACGGGAGGCAGCAGUGGGGAAUUUUGGGCAAUGGGGGCAACCCUGAUCCAGCCAUGCCGCGUGUGUGAAGAAGGCCUUCGGGUUGUAAAGCACUUUCGGACGGAACGAAAUCGCACGGGUGAAUAUCCCGGGUGGAUGACGGUACUGUAAGAAGAAGCACCGGCUAACUACGUGCCAGCCGCCGCAGUAA